Long non-coding RNA from Physeter macrocephalus (sperm whale), 4329 nucleotides. RefSeq lists it as uncharacterized. The transcript has 8 exons. The record is from RefSeq and is a predicted model, not a curated record. NCBI's taxonomy places the organism in Eukaryota, Metazoa, Chordata, Mammalia, Artiodactyla, Physeteridae.
GAAAGCAGAAAAAAAAAAGGGAAUUAUGUUUUCCUCAUAAUGUUUGGUUUAACUUGCCAAGAAAGCCUGGGUGGCCUGGAGUCUUCUUCGUGGGAAGGCUUUGGACUACUCUUUCAACUUGUUUUUAAACUGUUUUCCUGCACAUGGACAAAGAGGUUCCUCCCCAGGACUUUUCCAUUCCGGGAAGCAGACUGUGGAGUGCUCGGGCCACAGAACUGAAGCAAACGCGCACAAAGUGCGGUCACUACGGGCCAAGGGAGAAACCGGGAAACCACUCGGGGCGCAGCCGGGCCGCGACGCCCCUUGCCCCGGAAACCGCGUUCUGACGUCACCACGCGGCAGCGUCCCCGCAGGACCGCAACUGAGCCUGUUGUAUCACGGGACACGCAUGGCUACGCUCUGGUCUUAGAGCGUCGGUGCGGACUUUCGCUCGGUGCUCUAUGCACCUGUUCCUCCCGCCUGCUCAAACUUCUUUUCUACUUAUGAAGAGGGGCGCGUCCCCAUCUCCCGGAAGCAAGGAGAUGCGAGAGGACGGCGCCAGUUUAGGUGCAGCUAAAGGAGAAUCAUCGUCUCCCUCUCCUCCGCCAAGGGGUUUCGGUCCUUACACGACUUUUUUCUGGAUUUCUGACCAUUAGCCUCUACAUCCCCCGAGGAUUAACUCUAAGCUGACCUCCCACCGGUACUGGACCUGCGCCAUGGCACUUAUGGUUAAGCAAACUUAAUUCUAAGGAAUUACUCUCACAACUUCUGCUACUAAAGAACAAGAGAAAUUGGUAGGGAAAUGGAAAGACAAAAGUUCUGAUGAUUUGCCCUUAAUUUCACCAAGUUAAGUCAACUUCAAGAGUCCUCUUGUCAGAAAGUCUAACACGGAUCGGUGGGGUCUUACUCCAUGCAUUUAUUCAAGGAACCUGGCUUCUUCUACUUAGUGCUCUACCACCUUCAAGGCAGCCAGGUCAUGGAAGCAACCUAAAUGCCCAUCGACAGACGAAUGGAUAAAGAAGAUGUGGUACAUAUAUACAAUGGAAUAUUACUCAACCAUAAAAAGGAACGAAAUUGGGUCAUUUGUAGAGACGUGGAUGGAUCUAGAGCCUGUCAUUCAGAGUCAAUACCCAGUGUGUAACCAGGCCUCCAACAAAACUCCUGUGGCUAAACAUCUUAAGGAAAUAGAUCACUUUUAUAACAUAAAAUAAUUGUAAUAAUAUGAUCUAGGUGUGGGAAGAAGCAGCAAGGGAAAAUGUCUCCUGGAUCAUAAUUAGAGGAUCCAGAGAAUCUUUAAUUAUCAAAAGGGCCUAAUCCAAAAAAUAGCACCUGGAGUGGCAUAUCAAGAAUCUUUGCCUGACCUGGAAUGAGGCUUCCAGCACCGUGGGACAAAAUUUGAUCGUGAAAUGUCUCCCAAAUAUUGGUCAGAUUCCUGACCAAGAGGAGAGGAUCAGUCAUGUGCAAUUGCAGCCCUCCAACGUGAGCUAAUAAACCCUGAGGAAACUUGGGAAGGUGAAGAAUACCUGCCAUCUAGCAGCCAUCAGACUGCAGCCACUCCCUAUGGUGAGCCCUGAGGACACUCAGGAUGUGAAAAUACAGGAUACAGGCUCCAGAUAGCUGUGGUGCAUAUCAAAGAAAUGAUUUCAGUGAGCCCAGACUCUUGCAUCUUCCCAUACAAAGAAAAACGCUAAAUUCCUUAACUUGAGAUGUUGCUUCCUGGGCUUGAAGCCCUCAAAAUUCCUGAUAACUCUCAACUUUUAGGUUGUGAAUAUUUUUAAGUCUACAGGUGUAAAGUAGACACUUCCAAAGUGGAAAAAAAGACAAAUCUCAACAUUUGGAACACUGACGCCAAUGGCGGACACUCUCAGAAAGAUCCAUCUGAUGGAGCAGUUAGAACAUUGUCACCCCUUUUUCCACAAGAUUGUGGAAUGAACAUUGACAGUGGGGAAUCAUAACAGGGAAGAGCUAAAUCGGACUCCACACUGCAUCUGUUUCUUUGACUUUAACCUUUGCUUUUUGUUGCUUUUGUUAUAAUCAUACAUAAUGGCCUGCCUCAGGAAACCCUGCCCACCUGUGAAUGGCUGCAAGAAAAAAGAAACUAACACAUCCUCUCACUGAGGCUGGUCAUUCCAGGAGAUGUUUUGCAAGACUGAUGGCCCUUUUACUUUACUUCCUCACCUCCUCUCCCUCUCCGAUUCUAUAAAAGAAACUGGCAUCUAGACCCAGAUAAGAUGGUUUAUCAGAGCCACUAGUCUGCCAUCUUCUCGGUCUGCCGACAGUCGUAUUCCUUGCCUCAAAAAAAACCAAAAACCAAAAAACAGAAAAACAGGUAGGUCCUUCAAAUCAGGUGGAGAAGCUGAGUUCAAAAUUAUAUUUGGAAUAUUUCCAGUGGAGUAAAAAAUAUUUCAGCAAUGAAGACAAUUUGUGUUGUGAGUGAUGGUGUUGUUGGUAAGAUGUGUCUUGAUAUGCUAUACAACAAUAAGUUAAUGUCUGAAUACGUUCCAUGGUUUCUGACAACUAUGCAGUCAGUAACUGGUGAAAACCAUACACUUAUGGACUUUUUGAUCCUGCAGGACAAAAAAAAUUUGACAGAACAACCCCUCAGCUAUCCACAAACAUAUAUUUCUAGUCUUUUUCAGUGGUCUUCGGCCGUUAUUUGGAAAUGUGAAGGAAAAGUGGGUACCUGAGAUAAUUCACCAUUGUUUGAAGACUCCUUGUUUGUUGGAACCAAAACUGAUCUCAGAAAUGUGAUACCCUCUAUUACCGAGAAGCUUGCCAAGAACACAGAAACCUCUCCCUCCGCAGACUGCUGAAAUGUUGUUCUGUGACCUGAAGGCUGUCGAGUACAUGCAGUGUUCUGCAUUCUCACAGAAAAACCUAAAGUAUGCAUUUGACAAAACACUAUUGACUGCCUCGGAGACUCUGGAACCGAAGAAAAGCCGCAGAACUGUUCCUGGAAACCUUGCCCUCUUCCUAAAGGAAAAACUAUAUGCCUUUUCAAGCUGCGAGUUUUCUGAAUUAAACUGGUUGCUGAGCCUAGGCUCACACCUUACCAGCACUGAGAUGGAAGGGGGUGACCCCAGUGCCAGCACUUUCCAACAUCUAUAGAUGUUGUCCACACUAGUGAAGCUGUUGAACUGAUGUUAUAGACAAGUAAAACUGUUUGGAACUGACUUGCCUCAGGCAGUCCCUCUGAAAUCAAGGACUGAACUGCAUAAUUUGGACUGGACUGAGAACCCAGAGUGGGAGAUCUGACAAUACAAGGCCACGUGGGGCCCUGAUAACCUGUGCUGCCUGACUAAUGUAUGUCCUGCUUGGCAUGCCCCAACAUUUGUGAACUCUUUGUUUCUAUGGUUACCACUUGCGAUCUCUGGGACUGUACUUGUCUGUGUGCCCCGACUAUCAUACUACCUCAGCCCUGGAAAGCUUUCAGGUCAGCUUCAACUUACUGGCUGUGCCUGAACUGAUGCCUUGGGCUAAGUUAAAAAAAAAAAAAAGUUAAUCAGAAGCUUAAGGAUGAAGUCAUCUGGCUUUUUCAGAUAGAUCUGUAUAGUUAGUGGUAUUGUUUUUUUUGUUUUUUUUUUUGUGGUAUGCGGGCCUCUCACUGCUGUGGCCUCUCCCGACGCGCAGGCUCGGUGGCUAUGGCUCAAUGGCCUAGCCGUUCCGCGGCAUGUGGGAUCUUCCCAGACCGGGGGCACGAACCCACGUCCCCUGCAUCGGCAGGCGGAUUCUCAACCACUGCGCCACCAGGGAAACUCAGUGGUGCUAGUUUUAAUUGGCUAAGUAAAGGACCCCGAAAGGGCAUAACUGAGAUCAGUACUGCAGGCUGCUCUCACCCUGCUGCAGGAGGUCCUACUGAUAAUACUUUUGCUGUAAAGAUGCCUUGGCCAAGGGCCAAGAGCCUGCUUAUCUGUGGAAAGUCCUGCUUACAGGUUGGCCUGGUGUCUAGGAUGUGUUUUGGGGAGGGUUCCCACCAUUCACAGAACUUUUAAGAGUGGUUCAUUGUACUUAAACUGUUUGUACAACCAGUGUGGUUUAUGCUAAAUACCUACUUUCCUCCUGGGAGUCUGGAAUUUUGGUAUGUGUUAGGCAGAAGGUGCCUAUAUGACCAGCUCCCAAUAAAAGCCUUGGGCAGUGUCUCUAAUGAGCUUCCCCAGGAGGUAACAUUUCACAUGUGUUGGCACAACUUGCUGAUGGGGGAAUUAAGUUGUCCUGUGUGAUUCUACUGGGAGAGGACUCUUGGAAGCUUGUGCCUGGUUUUCUCUAGGCCUUGCACCAUUUGCCUUUUUUGUUUGCUGACUUUGUUUUGUAUCCUUUCACUGUAAUAAAUCUUAGCUGUGAGUACAACUA